Molecule: ribosomal RNA, 530 nt
Filed under: uncultured Hydrogenivirga sp.
Lineage: Bacteria; Pseudomonadati; Aquificota; Aquificia; Aquificales; Aquificaceae
Description: bacterial SSU rRNA
Rfam family: Bacterial small subunit ribosomal RNA
Source: RNAcentral
CGCGAACGCUGGCGGCACGCCUAACACAUGCAAGUCGUGCGCAGGCUUGUCCCUUCGGGGGCAGGUGCUGAGCGGCAAACGGGUGAGUAACACGUGGGUAACCUACCCUCAGGAGGGGGAUAACCCCGGGAAACCGGGGCUAAUACCCCAUAAUGCCGGGUGCCACUAAGGUAUCCCGGCCAAAGGGGGCCUCUGCUCUGCAUGCUCCCGCCUGAGGAUGGGCCCGCGGCCCAUCAGGUAGUUGGUGGGGUAACGGCCUACCAAACCUGUGACGGGUAGCCGGCCUGAGAGGGUGGCCGGCCACAGCGGGACUGAGACACGGCCCGCACCCCUACGGGGGGCAGCAGUGGGGAAUCGUGGGCAAUGGGUGAAAGCCUGACCCCGCGAUGCCGCGUGCGGGAGGAAGCCCUUCGGGGUGUAAACCGCUGUCGGGGGGGACGAAGGGACCGUGGGCUAAUACCUCACGGUCUUGACGGUACCCCCAGAGGAAGGGACGGCUAACUACGUGCCAGCAGCCGCGGUAAUACGUA